Molecule: ribosomal RNA, 476 nt
Filed under: uncultured bacterium
Lineage: Bacteria
Description: bacterial SSU rRNA
Rfam family: Bacterial small subunit ribosomal RNA
Source: RNAcentral
UUGAACGCUGGCGGCAUGCCUUACACAUGCAAGUCGAACGGUAGAGUAGCAAUACUCGAGAGUGGCGAACGGGUGAGUAAUAUAUCGGAACGUGCCCAGUCGUGGGGGAUAACGUAGAGAAAUUUACGCUAAUACCGCAUACGAUCUGAGGAUGAAAGCGGGGGACCGUAAGGCCUCGCGCGAUCGGAGCGGCCGAUGUCAGAUUAGGUAGUUGGUGGGGUAAAGGCUCACCAAGCCGACGAUCUGUAGCUGGUCUGAGAGGACGACCAGCCACACUGGGACUGAGACACGGCGCAGACUCCUACGGGAGGCAGCAGUGGGGAAUUUUGGACAAUGGGCGCAAGCCUGAUCCAGCAAUGCCGCGUGCAGGAAGAAGGCCUUCGGGUUGUAAACUGCUUUUGUACGGAGCGAAAAGGCUCUCUCUAAUACAGGGGGCUCAUGACGGUACCGUAAGAAUAAGCACCGGCUAACUACGU